UAGGGAAUCUUCGGCAAUGGGGGCAACCCUGACCGAGCAACGCCGCGUGAGUGAAGAAGGUUUUCGGAUCGUAAAGCUCUGUUGUAAGAGAAGAACGUGUGUGAGAGUGGAAAGUUCACACAGUGACGGUAACUUACCAGAAAGGGACGGCUAACUACGUGCCAGCAGCCGCGGUAAUACGUAGGUCCCGAGCGUUGUCCGGAUUUAUUGGGCGUAAAGCGAGCGCAGGCGGUUUAAUAAGUCUGAAGUUAAAGGCAGUGGCUUAACCAGUGUUCGCGUUGGAAACUGUUAAACUUGAGUGCAGAAGGGGAGAGUGGAAUUCCAUGUGUAGCGGUGAAAUGCGUAGAUAUAUGGAGGAACACCGGUGGCGAAAGCGGCUCUCUGGUCUGUAACUGACGCUGAGGCUCGAAAGCGUGGGGAGCAAACAGG
Molecule: ribosomal RNA, 429 nt
Filed under: bacterium
Lineage: Bacteria
Description: partial 16S ribosomal RNA
Rfam family: Bacterial small subunit ribosomal RNA
Source: RNAcentral